ACCUGGCUAGCUCAGUUGGUUAGAGCAUGGUGCUCAUAAUGCCAAGGUCACAGGUACAUAUUCCUACAUUGUGGGUG
Molecule: non-coding RNA, 77 nt
Organism: Podarcis lilfordi (Lilford's wall lizard)
Lineage: Eukaryota; Metazoa; Chordata; Lepidosauria; Squamata; Lacertidae
Source: the annotation of a GenBank genome assembly